Molecule: long non-coding RNA, 864 nt
Organism: Scophthalmus maximus (turbot)
Lineage: Eukaryota; Metazoa; Chordata; Actinopteri; Pleuronectiformes; Scophthalmidae
Exons: 5
Source: RefSeq, a predicted model, not a curated record
GAGAAAUCCACCGUGUGAGUUCAAGACUCCGGAUGGUGGAGAGAGGCACUGGCGGAGAUCCAGCGGUGCAGCAGAGAACUGACCUUUACAUCCAGCCAGGCGGAAAAAUAAGGGGGAAAAGGCUAAAGCCAAUCACAGUCUCUGGACUGUGGGAGGAAGCCGGAGAACCCGCGCGAGGACCCGCGCAUACCCGGGGAGAACAUGCAAACUGCACACAGAAAGGCCCUGGUUGGUUUGAACCGGGACUCGAACCCAGAACCUUCUUGCUGUGAGGCGACAGCGCCGACCGCCACGCCACCGUGCCGCCCCAAGGCCCCUCAGAUCUCAGUGCCAGCAGGUCCAGCAGGUCCAGCAGGUCCGCCAACGGGCUGCCAGACUCGGAGAUCUGCUGCAGGAACUGAACUGAGCCACCUGAUGAGAGACAGAGUGCACUUCUGGCCCGCGAACGGCUCUUUUCGCCCGCCGCUGAAUCAGCGCUUCUCCUCCGUGCAGCCGGCCGUUCGGAGCCGCGGGACCUUCGCUGACCUGCGUUGAAUUAUCGCCGACUCGAGAGGCGGCGGGCGACAGGACGGGGAGAGGAACUCGGCACGUUGGAACCGAAAAACGGCAAUUGUCAUUAGAUUAGCCCUAAUGAAAGACGGAUGGGAACAGCUUCAGAAGCACCUGCGGCAAUUCACCGGGACGCAGGGACUCUAUCUUGACCCCGAUUCAUAUAAAGACUGGAGCCAGCCGUUUACCUCCACUGUCUGCGGUGUGUUGACUCUACAUCAACUUCUCCACUCUCACCAGACGUACGGGAGUGAGCGUUCAUGUGCCUCUGUGUGUGUGUGUGUGCAUCUCAUCUGCUUGUCUGCCUGCAGGUGU